GACGAACGCUGGCGGCGCGCCUAACACAUGCAAGUCGAACGGAGUCAAGAGGAGCUUGCUUUUCUUGACUUAGUGGCGAACGGGUGAGUAACGCGUGAGUAACCUGCCCUGGAGUGGGGGACAACAGUUGGAAACGACUGCUAAUACCGCAUAAGCCCACGGAUCUGCAUGGAUCUGCGGGAAAAGGAUUUAUUCGCUCUAGGAUGGACUCGCGUCCAAUUAGCUAGUUGGUGAGGUAACGGCCCACCAAGGCGACGAUUGGUAGCCGGACUGAGAGGUUGAACGGCCACAUUGGGACUGAGACACGGCCCAGACUCCUACGGGAGGCAGCAGUGGGGGAUAUUGCACAAUGGGGGAAAACCUGAUGCAGCGACGCCGCGUGGAGGAAGAAGGUUUUCGGAUUGUAAACUCCUGUCGUGAGGGACGAUAAUGACGGUACCUAACAAGAAAGCACCGGCUAACUACGUG
This 468-nucleotide ribosomal RNA is filed under the name uncultured bacterium. RNAcentral describes it as "partial 16S ribosomal RNA". It matches the Rfam family "Bacterial small subunit ribosomal RNA", at positions 28 to 507 of the family's 1533-position model. The record is from RNAcentral.